CUAUACCCCACAUUUCUUCAUUUUCAAAAACAAAGCUCUCUUCUGCAGAUGAUUCAGCAAGCCUCAUAAUUCAGGAAACAAAGGAGAAGGGUGAUAUGCCUUUAAAAAAUUAAAUUAUUAAGGACCACUAUAAAGAUUCAGCUACAUUCUAGGGAUUUGAUGCAUGCAAAACAAACAAACAAACAAAAAAGAAACAAAAUACAGAUCACGGGUAACAUAUAAGAAAGCAUAUGAAGAUCAAUAAAUAUGAUGAUCCUGCCAUCUGCCUAUGUUGUGAACCUGAAUAAGGUGGGCUGAGAGAGCCUGACUUCAAAAAAAGUUCAAUUCGGAAGUUUCUGGUGAUCAGAAGGGUCAGGAGCUACCCCCUGCCCUCCCAGAAGGCAGAGCAACUGAGGACAGAAAGGCACUACAAAGUCAACCAAAAUCUAAGUAGGCCUCUGUGAAAGGAUAUUUGGUGAACCAGUGAACUUCGUGCAGAUGCCUGAGAACAACACAAAUCUGCUGAUAAAAACAACAUAUUAUUCAGGGAGUAGUUUGAAUGCAUGACCAGUUAGCAAAAUAGCAACAGAGACUCCUUUUCAGGGCCUAUGAUUUCCACAGUCAUGGGAUUUUGACCAGUUUACACUACCAAGUAUGAAAUCCCACCUGUGGACCAGGUCUGGUAUACAAACGGAAAGUGGCUAAUUUGUUUCUAGAAUUAUCAGUAAUGAAAAAGAUAAAAGGUUUAUUACUAGAAUAAAACAAUUUGAAUAAACAUUAAAAUUUUUGUUAAUCUCUUCUCUGUGACAAAAUAUGUGAGACAAUUAAUAAGGAAGAAAGUUAUUUUAGCCAAUGGUUUCAAAGGUUUCAAUUCAAGGACAGGGGUCAUUAUUUCUAUAGGCCUGUGACAGUUUAGUACAUCAAAGAGAGGCAGACAGAUAGCCAUCUCCUUCUGGCUGUCAACGCAGCUCAGGGAGCAAAAACUUUCCCAGAAUGUACAAGCCCUAGAGUCAACCACCAGAACCAAGAGGAAAACACUAUCCCUGAUAUUAUUCUCAUUCUGGACUUGAAUAUAAGAGAAAGCCAUCUGUAAAGGCAAGGACAGAGCUAAGAGUGAUGGCACAUACUUAUUCCCAGAACUUGGGAGAAUCCCGAAUUCAGUGUCAUGUCAUCUAUGUGGCAACCUUGAUGUCAGCUUUGGCUCCAUGAGACUCUGUCUUAAGAGCGAAAUAAAAGUUAAAGAAAAAAAGAUGAGGACAACAGGAUUCUGAAAAGAAGGAUCACAAUUGUAAAGGUCUUGAGAAAGUGAGUCUUUGAGGUAUGUAAGAAAUAUUUUUCAUGGACAACGAAAAACCAUCGACAUUUUUCAAAUGCUACCCAACAGGUCAGGUGAGAGCUAUGAAGUCUAGAGUCUACUUUAAGAACAUCCAAAAUAGAAUGCAUCAUACAGGCUGCUGGAGGAGAAAAGGCAUCAACCAUCACUGAACCCUGCAUGCUACAAUACUUACCUGCAUGGCAAGAUAUGCCCACCAAGGAAAUAGUGACAUGAUAAUAAUGGUGUGUGUGUGUGUGUGUGUGUGUGUGUGUGUGUGUGUAACCAAUCACUUUAUGAUUGAAUAUGAGGCCUUCUCCAGAGGACCGAUUUCAUACUAUAAAACUAGUCAAAAGCCCAUGACCAGGAUCUCACAGGCUGUAGGUGGAAACCUACUGUUGUUACUUUGUUAAAUGGUCAUGCUACCAAAUUGCCUUUUAUAUAUUUACCUUUAUACCAAUAAGUUUGUUUUGCCCUCAGAUUUUAUCAUAGAAGCAUUUUUCUGCAUGUAUUUCUCCAUAUGUCAGGUGUUAGUAACUGUGAGUGCUCAGCUACAGGUAAAUCACCCGUACCAAUCUCCCUCAUCCUUCAUUAAGAGAACAUCGAGAGAGGGACAUCAAAAGGGGACAGAAGGAAUGUAAGGGCUGUGGGGUGGGAAGCAGAGCCUUGAAAUGCUGACUUGGCUCAUGGAACAUGGCAUGUCUGUUCACACAUGAACAUGGUUACUUGCACAAGAUCAAGUCAGUCAAAAUUUCAGCAUGGAUUGGAAAGGAAACCCCAAGGCUCCUUGGCAGAGAAGCUAUUGGUAGGUGAUGACUGCUGGGGGAGGAAGAGUCACUCUGCUUCAGGGAUUUGGCCGCUGGUAGGUUGCCCAUGUUCCAGUGGGUGGCCCUAUACACAUGUGCACAUGGCCAGCACAGUUACUGAUAACGAAAAAGGUUGAGAGGGAGACAGGUUGAGAGUUGUCUGGGGAAGUUGUAGGGAGGCAGUGGUGGGUGAAAACGAUCAAAAUACAUUGCAUAAAUGUGUAAGAUUUUCAAAAAAGGUGAAGACAUUGUUCUUAAAAAGAAAUGGAAAAAUUCUUUGAAAUAAAAUCCUCUCCUCCAGAUAAUAAUGACAAUAAUGUUGGAUGAGUAUGUAAAAUAACAACAACACAGGGACAGUAACACUUUGUUUCUCAUUGAAACAAUGGGAAUAGCAGACAACAGACAUGUGUAAGUAGCAAAGUAAAAACCAAAAUCAAUAUAAAAAGAAAUGACCCACUCAGAGAGCCACAUCCAGUGAAACUAUAUAUUUAGAAAUAAAAGAAAAUGGAAUCUUCCAGAUGAAUGGAAACUGGGGAAAUGAACCACCAGCAAGCCUGUGUGUGGUAAGAGAAGUUACUUAGACUGAAGAAAUGACAGGAUGAGACUGUAGACCUGGAGAAAAAAAAAAGAAAGAAAGAACAAGCAUGACAAAUGCACAAGUCAGUGCAGGCCUUCCUGAUGUUUUCGUCGUCUUUAAAAUACAGCCAAAAAUUAGAAAUUUCUAAGGAUUAAUAGACAUUUUUGGGAAUUUCUGACAUAGAUGUAAGGAACUAAACAAGAAAUCUUUAUCACAGCACAGAAUUUGAAAUUUCAGAAAACUGGGGCUAAAGAACACUGUAUUUUUUCAAAGAGCAAAAAAAAUCCUAUAUACAGGAUACACAGAAUUAUAACGUGGUCUUUCUACAACAAUACUGGAAACAAGACAAGAUUGCCUUCAGACACUUUAAGGAACUAAUUUCUGACUUGUCUGUGUGUGGAAGGGCACAAAAACAUUUGCUAUUCAAAGUUCAAAAGGAAAUUACCUAUGUGAACACUCACUCCAACUAUGUUCCAGGUGCUUCAAGGAAGCAAGCAUAGAAAAUAAGAAAUAUUUGACAUAAGGGAACAAAGAGAUACCUCGGGAAUAUGAAAUGCAGAAAUAAAAAUAGACUCUUCAGAGAGAAAGCAACUAAAGGAUAAACUAUUUUGGUCGCUCCUUAAACUAUUUAGUGGGGGAACCCUUUAAAUUUGGCCACCCGAAAGCUUCCAGAAAGUCUGUUAACUCACUUGUUGGCAGUCCGAGCUGCAUACUCCUCCUUUUCUUCUCUUUUCCUUGACACAUAUCAGGGAAUCAGCAGAAAAUGGAGCAGAAAAUGGAAAACAGAGGCAUCAGAGUUUAAGGAUUGUUGUUCCAGUUUGGGCCUGGCCAGGAAGAGGGCAUAUCCAAGUAGCAGGCAUAAAGAGACUGAGGGAAUGUUGAAACAAUUUCAGUACACGAGAGAGCACGUUGUUAUCACCAUCAUUGUGCGAACAGGCCAACUGUCUGGAACCUUCCCGGGUGCAUGUGGGACACCUUUUGAAAUCUAUUCCCAAAGGAAUCAGCUUGCACCCCACAGUUGUUGAGUCUUGCCUUGGAAUGAAAAAUCCUGGUCUAUGUCCCAACUGAGUGUAAACCCCUAAAGAGAGGUCUCCCCAAGGGCAAUUAUAGCACUGGAAACAUCUGAGGGCAAAAGUGUAAAACGUCUGGUGCUUGAGAAAGAAAAAAAACACCAGCAUGACAUAAGCCAAACUACUCACUGAAGCUACACUGUAAUCAAAGAUGAAGCCAAGAGGAUAUGAGUCAGGAAGCCAGAAGCAGCCCGCACAGGCUAGCCUUUGUACCCCUCUGCUACUCCUAUGCCUUGCCGUUAAUUACCUCUCAGGCUUCAAGGUGGCCUUCAGCCAGUCUCUACAUGUGACCUGAUAAAACAAGACAGCCUUCGCUACUGCAACUGGUCUGGAGCUGCACUUGACAUUUAUCAGCUCCUUCCACCACCAAUAUUAGAUUUCCCUCACGAUCCUUCGGCACCUUUUCUAGCCUAAUAAGGUGACUCAGACCUUCCAUGCUGAGCAGUAUAAGCCCAUGGCUGCCUCGCUCUUGUCAGGCCACAUUAGCUACAGUUACUGAUCGUAUUUUUCACUGGAUAUGGGGAUGCCAAGAGAGUCUCAUGAUUAUUUUUGUCAGUAACAUAAAUAUUACUUGUACAAACUAGUGGAAUUCACUGUGAUACUUCUUACACACAUACAGCAUUUAUGCAUCCAUCUGCCUUCUAGCCUUAGUCCCUUCUCCUUCUUGACCAGUUCUUAGAAACAACUCUUCUACUUCCAGAUCUAGUUCUUGCUGUUUUUGAUCUCACGUUUCCAGAUUGAAAAGAAAAUACAACACUUGUUUUGUUUGUU
Molecule: non-coding RNA, 4515 nt
Organism: Cricetulus griseus (Chinese hamster)
Lineage: Eukaryota; Metazoa; Chordata; Mammalia; Rodentia; Cricetidae
Source: RefSeq, a predicted model, not a curated record